This 324-nucleotide ribosomal RNA is filed under the name uncultured soil bacterium. RNAcentral's name for it is "bacterial SSU rRNA". It matches the Rfam family "Bacterial small subunit ribosomal RNA", at positions 26 to 380 of the family's 1533-position model. The record is from RNAcentral.
AGAACGAACGCUGGCGGCAUGCCUAAUACAUGCAAGUCGAACGAAGGCUUCGGCCUUAGUGGCGCACGGGUGCGUAACGCGUGGGAAUCUGCCCCUUGGUUCGGAAUAACAGUUGGAAACGACUGCUAAUACCGGAUGAUGACGAAAGUCCAAAGAUUUAUCGCCAAGGGAUGAGCCCGCGUAGGAUUAGCUAGUUGGUGAGGUAAAGGCUCACCAAGGCGACGAUCCUUAGCUGGUCUGAGAGGAUGAUCAGCCACACUGGGACUGAGACACGGCCCAGACUCCUACGGGAGCAGCAGUAGGGAAUAUGGACAAUGGGCAAAG